UGUCCUUCAAACAAGAUCCCCACUAGCCCAUCUCCCUGUAGCUCGCCGACGGCGGCGGCGGUCAGAUCCGGUGCUUGCGAGAGGACUACGCCCACCGCUCCUCCUCCAGGCGCCUCUCGACGCCAUACUGCGCAUCAUCGACCAGGACCCUGGCCGCCGCCGCCACGGUCUCCUCCUCCACUCGUGCAUCUACCCAGGAAUCCAGGAGGCAUCACCUGGCCUUCUCUGUGCCGGAUUCCGACAGGUUUGCGACCAAGCUGAAGAACCCUGGCACAGACUUGUUCGCGAAGACGCAACCCGAUGGCCGCGCGCGCCAGGUGUUCUUCCUCGACCGGGACGGUAGAUUUGACAACUGGAUGCCCAGGCUUAGAUAGGAACAGAGGACAUAGCAGCAGAAGAACAGAUGCAUUGGAUAGCUUCUGCUAUCGAUUUUCCAGAUCAUUUCACUAGCACUUUGACUUAUUGAGAGCGGCGAAGUGAAGGAAGCUCUGUGUGCGAAAAUAACCACACCUUUGUGUGUAAAAAGAGUGCUGAUAUAUUUUCAGUGUAACUGGUGUUUCUGUUCACGCUUAAGAAGUGCUUCAUAUAAUGGCCUAAUUACAAUUCAAGUUGAGCGUGUUA
Molecule: long non-coding RNA, 621 nt
Organism: Triticum dicoccoides
Lineage: Eukaryota; Viridiplantae; Streptophyta; Magnoliopsida; Poales; Poaceae
Exons: 2
Source: RefSeq, a predicted model, not a curated record